GAUGAACGCUGGCGGCGUGCCUAAUACAUGCAAGUCGAGCGAACGGACGAGAAGCUUGCUUCUCUGAUGUUAGCGGCGGACGGGUGAGUAACACGUGGAUAACCUACCUAUAUGACUGGGAUAACAUCGGGAAACCGGAGCUAAUACCGGACAAUCUUUUGAAUCGCAUGGUUCAAAAGUGAAAGACGGUCUUGCUGUCACUUAUAGAUGGAUCCGCGCUGCAUUAGCUAGUUGGUAAGGUAACGGCUUACCAAGGCAUCGAUGAAUAGCCGACCCAGGAGAGGAAUCGGCCACACGGGAACUAGGACACGGUCCAGACUCCAACGGGAGGAGGCGGUAGGAAAUCUUCGGAAAUGGGCGAAAGCCUGCCGGAGCAACGCGGCGUGAGUGAUAAAGGUCUUCGGUUCGUAAGACUCGGUUAUUAGGGAAAAACAUAUGUGUAAGUAACGGUACACAGCUUGACGGUACCUAAUCAGAAAGCCACGGCUAACUACGUG
Molecule: ribosomal RNA, 497 nt
Filed under: uncultured bacterium
Lineage: Bacteria
Description: partial 16S ribosomal RNA
Rfam family: Bacterial small subunit ribosomal RNA
Source: RNAcentral